CUCAUUUUUUCAGAUGUUAUUUAUAACUUGCUGCUCUUCGGGUCAUCAUUCCUUGUGUCUGAGCUCCAGUCACUUCCAAGCAUCCCAAACAGGAGCAUGAAUUGCCCUCUCAAAGUUAUGCUUACCCAGCUCACCCAAAGUUAGCUGCACCCAGCACCCCCAAAGGGCUUAGUGCUCAUACAGGGACAUGUGCAGUAAACAGCACUGCAUUGGGAAUGAAAGGAACUGGAGGCAGCCCCAGGCCUUUGACCAGUCUUUGCAGGAGGUCUUUGACCAGUAGCAAAUCACUUCCCCCCAGGCCUGCCUGCUGCCCCUCAAAACCAAUGCCUUAACUCUCUUACAGACUUAGAGCCCUGGAGAGCAAAGGCUCUUGGGAAGUCUACAGUUAUAACAAAACCUAUGGGUUUGUUGAG
RNAcentral lists this long non-coding RNA (413 nucleotides) under Bos taurus (domestic cattle). RNAcentral's name for it is "long non-coding RNA NONBTAT014083". Lineage: Eukaryota; Metazoa; Chordata; Mammalia; Artiodactyla; Bovidae. The record is from RNAcentral.